This 336-nucleotide unclassified non-coding RNA is filed under the name soil metagenome. Its description in RNAcentral is "partial contains 5.8S ribosomal RNA, internal transcribed spacer 2, and large subunit ribosomal RNA". The stretch from base 1 to 120 matches the Rfam family "5.8S ribosomal RNA", at positions 35 to 154 of the family's 154-position model. The record is from RNAcentral.
GAUGAAGAACGUAGCGAAAUGCGAUAAGUAAUGUGAAUUGCAGAAUUCCGUGAAUCAUCGAAUCUUUGAACGCGCAUUGCGCCCCCUGGUAUUCCGGGGGGCAUGCCUGUCCGAGCGUCAUUGCAACCUUCAAGCGCGGCUUGUGUGUUGGGUCUCGUCCCCCGUGGACGGGCCCGAAAGGCAGUGGCGGCGUCCCGACAUGGUGCCCGAGCGUAUGGGAAUCCUCUUCCGCUCGAAUCGGCCCAUGCGGCGCUGGUCGUAACCAAAUUUUUUACCGGUUGACCUCGGAUCAGGUAGGGAUACCCGCUGAACUUAAGCAUAUCAAUAAGCGGAGGA